This 253-nucleotide ribosomal RNA is filed under the name uncultured bacterium. Its description in RNAcentral is "partial 16S ribosomal RNA". It matches the Rfam family "Bacterial small subunit ribosomal RNA", at positions 524 to 776 of the family's 1533-position model. The record is from RNAcentral.
UACGUAGGGGGCAAGCGUUGUCCGGAAUCAUUGGGCGUAAAGCGCGUGUAGGCGGCCAGAAAAGUCCGCUGUGAAAACUCGAGGCUCAACCUCGAGCUGUCGGUGGAAACUUUCUGGCUAGAGUCCGGAAGAGGAGAAUGGAAUUCCUGGUGUAGCGGUGAAAUGCGCAGAUAUCAGGAGGAACACCGGUGGCGAAGGCGGGUCUCUGGGUAGUAACUGACGCUGAGGAACGAAAGCGUGGGUAGCGAACAGG